GGCAGGCCUAACACAUGCAAGUCGAACGGUAACAGGAAGCAGCUUGCUGCUUCGCUGACGAGUGGCGGACGGGUGAGUAAUGUCUGGGAAACUGCCUGAUGGAGGGGGAUAACUACUGGAAACGGUAGCUAAUACCGCAUAACGUCGCAAGACCAAAGAGGGGGACCUUCGGGCCUCUUGCCAUCGGAUGUGCCCAGAUGGGAUUAGCUAGUAGGUGGGGUAACGGCUCACCUAGGCGACGAUCCCUAGCUGGUCUGAGAGGAUGACCAGCCACACUGGAACUGAGACACGGUCCAGACUCCUACGGGAGGCAGCAGUGGGGAAUAUUGCACAAUGGGCGCAAGCCUGAUGCAGCCAUGCCGCGUGUAUGAAGAAGGCCUUCGGGUUGUAAAGUACUUUCAGCGGGGAGGAAGGCGAUAAGGUUAAUAACCUUGUCGAUUGACGUUACCCGCAGAAGAAGCACCGGCUAACUCCGUGCCAGCAGCCGCGGUAAUACGGAGGGUGCAAGCGUUAAUCGGAAUUACUGGGCGUAAAGCGCACGCAGGCGGUCUGUCAAGUCGGAUGUGAAAUCCCCGGGCUCAACCUGGGAACUGCAUUCGAAACUGGCAGGCUAGAGUCUUGUAGAGGGGGGUAGAAUUCCAGGUGUAGCGGUGAAAUGCGUAGAGAUCUGGAGGAAUACCGGGUGG
This 686-nucleotide ribosomal RNA is filed under the name Enterobacter hormaechei. RNAcentral describes it as "bacterial SSU rRNA". It matches the Rfam family "Bacterial small subunit ribosomal RNA", at positions 41 to 716 of the family's 1533-position model. Lineage: Bacteria; Pseudomonadati; Pseudomonadota; Gammaproteobacteria; Enterobacterales; Enterobacteriaceae. The record is from RNAcentral.